AGAGGCACAAAAGCUGGCCCAAGGGAAUCAUCAACUUGUGGAAAUCGAACCCGGGUUAUCCCGAAAUUCUCCCCCACAAAUAGAGCUCAUUUGCCACUUAGCUACCUUUUUAUGUUGAUAAUGUUG
Molecule: long non-coding RNA, 126 nt
Organism: Ipomoea nil (Japanese morning glory)
Lineage: Eukaryota; Viridiplantae; Streptophyta; Magnoliopsida; Solanales; Convolvulaceae
Exons: 3
Source: RefSeq, a predicted model, not a curated record